GUAAAAAUCGCUCCGAAUACCUUGUGGUUAGAGCAUCCGCUUCGGAUGCGGAAGAUUGUGGGUUCGAUCCCCGGCUGAGUCA
Potamilus streckersoni is the source of this 82-nucleotide non-coding RNA. NCBI's taxonomy places the organism in Eukaryota, Metazoa, Mollusca, Bivalvia, Unionida, Unionidae. The record is from the annotation of a GenBank genome assembly.